Molecule: long non-coding RNA, 612 nt
Organism: Esox lucius (northern pike)
Lineage: Eukaryota; Metazoa; Chordata; Actinopteri; Esociformes; Esocidae
Source: Ensembl
CAGCCAGCAAAAAAGCGAAGAAAGGACAGACAACAAAACCAGACUGAAAAAUUGUCCGAUUGACUGUGAUUUACUUAUCAAGUAAACUUAGCUAGACAUCGUUCGAAAAGCAAUCCGAUUGAUCUUUGCAUUUUAACUGAUUCACUUGAUGUAACAUCGACUAGGGCUGACCUGAAGCGAACAUUAAAGGCCAGAACUCCUUUUCUGAGACGAAGGGAAUGUCUAGUUGACGUGUCGCGCCUGUCGCUCCGUUCUUGCACCGGGUUUCUCUGUGGAAUGCCCGUGGCAUGAUGCCGUCACUGAGUCUCACCCCACGCCCAGGUGACAAGGGAGGGCGUGUUGGGCUGUCAGCCAUUCACACCAGGCCCGUUAGGAGAGUCACUUCCGGUAUCUGUUCAUCCGUACUCCAUCUCAGAACCCUCUCGCCUCACUGACGUCCUGCCCCUUGUUCUUCCAUCACUUCCUCCUGAAGCCCCACCUCUUCCUGUGUGGCAUUGUGGGGAUGCUGGUGCCAGCUGGCGCUGGAAGUUACCAUGGUGACGGAUAGGUAACCUUUCUGAUGUUGUGCCAGAUGUGGAGAAGACAGGAGGGCUCCAUCAGACAUCGACGGGC